This 506-nucleotide ribosomal RNA is filed under the name uncultured bacterium. RNAcentral describes it as "partial 16S ribosomal RNA". It matches the Rfam family "Bacterial small subunit ribosomal RNA", at positions 28 to 523 of the family's 1533-position model. The record is from RNAcentral.
GAUGAACGCUAGCUACAGGCUUAACACAUGCAAGUCGAGGGGUAACGAGAGGGAAGCUUGCUUUCCUUGUCGACGACCGGCGCACGGAUGAGUAACGCGUAUCCAACCUGCCCCCAACUAGGGAAUAACCUUGCGAAAGUAAGACUAAUACCCUAUAAUUUCCUCAGAUGUCAUCUGACGAGGAAUAAAGAUUUAUCGGUUGUGGAUGGGGAUGCGUCUGAUUAGCUUGUUGGCGGGGUAACGGCCCACCAAGGCAACGAUCAGUAGGGGUUCUGAGAGGAAGGUCCCCCACAUUGGAACUGAGACACGGUCCAAACUCCUACGGGAGGCAGCAGUGAGGAAUAUUGGUCAAUGGGCGGAAGCCUGAACCAGCCAAGUAGCGUGCAGGAUGACGGCCCUAUGGGUUGUAAACUGCUUUUAUACAGGAAUAAAGUUAGCCACGUGUGGUUAUUUGUAGGUACUGUAUGAAUAAGGACCAGCUAAUUCCGUGCCAGCAGCCGCGGUAA